This 397-nucleotide ribosomal RNA is filed under the name uncultured bacterium. Its description in RNAcentral is "bacterial SSU rRNA". It matches the Rfam family "Bacterial small subunit ribosomal RNA", at positions 505 to 898 of the family's 1533-position model. The record is from RNAcentral.
GUGUCAGCAGCCGCGGUAAUACGGAGGAUCCAAGCGUUAUCCGGAAUCAUUGGGUUUAAAGGGUCCGUAGGCGGACAUAUAAGUCAGCGGUGAAAUCUUGCAGCUCAACUGCAAGCCUGCCGUUGAAACUGUUUGUCUUGAAUUGAUGUGAAGUGGCUAGAAUAUGUGGUGUAGCGGUGAAAUGCAUAGAUAUCACAUGGAAUACCGAUUGCGAAGGCAGGUCACUAACAUUAUAUUGACGCUGAUGGACGAAAGCGUGGGGAUCAAACAGGAUUAGAUACCCUGGUAGUCCACGCCGUAAACGAUGGAUACUAGCUGUUCGUCCCGCAUUGGCGGGAUGAGUGGCUAAGCGAAAGUGAUAAGUAUCCCACCUGGGGAGUACGUUCGCAAGAAUGAA